Molecule: ribosomal RNA, 253 nt
Filed under: uncultured bacterium
Lineage: Bacteria
Description: partial 16S ribosomal RNA
Rfam family: Bacterial small subunit ribosomal RNA
Source: RNAcentral
GACGGGGGAUGCAAGCGUUAUCCGGAAUCACUGGGCGUAAAGCGUCUGUAGGUGGUGAUGCAAGUCACUGGUGCAAAACUCUGGCACAACCGGAGGAAAGCCAGUGAAACUGCAUGACUAGAGUGUGGGAGAGGUAGAAGGAAUUCCCUGAGUAGCGGUGAAAUGCGUAGAUACAGGGAAAAACACCGGAGGCGAAAGCGUUCUACUGGAGCACAACUGACACUGAGAGACGAAAGCUAGCGGGGCCAAUGCG